GAUGAACGCUAGCGGGAGGCCUAACACAUGCAAGCCGAGGGGUAUGAUUCUUUCGGGGAUCGGAGACCGGCGCACGGGUGCGUAACGCGUAUGUAACUUACCCCAUUCACUGGGAUAGCUCUUCGAAAGGAGGAUUAAUACCGGAUAACACUAAUGUGGGCAUCCACUUUGGUCGAAAGAUUUAUCGGAAUGGGAUAGACGUGCGUAAGAUUAGCUAGUUGGAGAGGUAACGGCUCACCAAGGCGAUGAUCUGUAGGGGGCCUGAGAGGGUGCCCCCCCACAAUAGUUCAAAGACACGUACAAGACUCCUACGGGAGGCAGCAGUGAGGACUAUUAUACGAUGGGUGAGAUCCUGAAACAGCCAUCCCGAUUGGAGGAAGACGGCACUAUGGGUUGUAAACUUCUUUUGUAUGGGAAUAAACCACUUUACGAGUAAGGUGUUGAAGGUACCAAACGAAUAAGCACCGGCUAACUACGUG
Molecule: ribosomal RNA, 479 nt
Filed under: uncultured bacterium
Lineage: Bacteria
Description: partial 16S ribosomal RNA
Rfam family: Bacterial small subunit ribosomal RNA
Source: RNAcentral